RNAcentral lists this ribosomal RNA (467 nucleotides) under uncultured bacterium. RNAcentral describes it as "partial 16S ribosomal RNA". It matches the Rfam family "Bacterial small subunit ribosomal RNA", at positions 28 to 506 of the family's 1533-position model. The record is from RNAcentral.
GAUGAACGCUGGCGGCGUGCUUAACACAUGCAAGUCGAACGGAAAGGCCCUGCUUUUGUGGGGUGCUCGAGUGGCGAACGGGUGAGUAACACGUGAGUAACCUGCCCUUGACUUUGGGAUAACUUCAGGAAACUGGGGCUAAUACCGGAUAGGAGCUCCUGCUGCAUGGUGGGGGUUGGAAAGUUUCGGCGGUUGGGGAUGGACUCGCGGCUUAUCAGCUUGUUGGUGGGGUAGUGGCUUACCAAGGCUUUGACGGGUAGCCGGCCUGAGAGGGUGACCGGCCACAUUGGGACUGAGAUACGGCCCAGACUCCUACGGGAGGCAGCAGUGGGGAAUAUUGCACAAUGGGCGGAAGCCUGAUGCAGCAACGCCGCGUGCGGGAUGACGGCCUUCGGGUGGUAAACCGCUUUCGCCUGUGACGAAGCGUGAGUGACGGUAAUGGGUAAAGAAGCACCGGCUAACUACGU